RNAcentral lists this transfer RNA (74 nucleotides) under mine drainage metagenome. RNAcentral describes it as "tRNA-Arg". It matches the Rfam family "tRNA". Rfam says of the family: Transfer RNA (tRNA) molecules are approximately 80 nucleotides in length. Their secondary structure includes four short double-helical elements and three loops (D, anti-codon, and T loops). The record is from RNAcentral.
GCGCCCGUAGCUCAACUGGAUAGAGCGCUGCCCUCCGAAGGCAGAGGCCGGGGGUUCGAAUCCCUCCGGGCGCG